UGCCAGCGCCGCGGUAAUACGGAGGAUCCAAGCGUUAUCCGGAAUCAUUGGGUUUAAAGGGUCCGUAGGCGGUCUUGUAAGUCAGUGGUGAAAGCCCAUCGCUCAACGGUGGAACGGCCAUUGAUACUGCAGGACUUGAAUUAUUAGGAAGUAACUAGAAUAUGUAGUGUAGCGGUGAAAUGCUUAGAGAUUACAUGGAAUACCAAUUGCGAAGGCAGGUUACUACUAAUGGAUUGACGCUGAUGGACGAAAGCGUGGGUAGCGAACAGG
Molecule: ribosomal RNA, 270 nt
Filed under: uncultured prokaryote
Description: partial 16S ribosomal RNA
Rfam family: Bacterial small subunit ribosomal RNA
Source: RNAcentral